AAGACUCUACUUUCAGAGAUCAUUUCUAUAGUAUAUGAUAGAGAAGUAUCUCUGAUCAUGUAGAGCACCCAAAGCCAUGAGAAGGAGCUAGAGCGUCCUCUCCUGAGCAUGAAGUCGGCUCAAGGUGUCACUUCUGCGACUACCUUUGGCCAUUGAUGAUUGUUCUCACUUUCCUCUGGAAAGGGUAGAGGGAGAGGAUGCAGUCUGAGUGGU
This is a small nucleolar RNA of Suncus etruscus (white-toothed pygmy shrew), 213 nucleotides long. RefSeq annotates it as small nucleolar RNA U3. The record is from RefSeq and is a predicted model, not a curated record. The transcript has a single exon. NCBI's taxonomy places the organism in Eukaryota, Metazoa, Chordata, Mammalia, Eulipotyphla, Soricidae.